RNAcentral lists this long non-coding RNA (2360 nucleotides) under Xyrichtys novacula (pearly razorfish). Lineage: Eukaryota; Metazoa; Chordata; Actinopteri; Labriformes; Labridae. The record is from RNAcentral.
CUUUGGAGCGUCACUUUUCUCUGAUUCAUACUUUCCAAACCUUUCCCCUGAACUCUACAGAUUUAAGACAUCAGGUUUCAAACUGGAUCAUUUUUCUCUAAAAUCUCAUUAUUUCCUCUUUAUUUAGGUUAAUGAGCUGCAGUUUGACAGAGAUCAGCUGUUCUUCUCUGGCCUCAGCUCUGAAGUCCAACCCCUCCCAUCUGAAAACUCUGUGGCUGAUGGGAAACAAUCUGCAGGAUUCAGAUCUGAAGCCGCUGCGUGAUCUUCAGAAGAGUCUAGACUACAGACUGGAGGAUCUGGGGUCAGUAUAGAGUUGGAGUUAGUCUGUGCUGAUCUCUCCUGUUCCUCUCCACACAGUAUCACAGCAGAUAUUCAGUAUUUCCUGCUGACUCUUCGACCCUCUCAGAGGAUUCUUUCUUUAGUGAAGCUGUGAGAACAGAAAUCAUCAAACCAGGAGUGUAAGAGUGUCAGUCAUGAAAAAAGUGUCUCCUCGUCUCUAUAUUUCAGAUCAAAUGUAGAAAUGAGACAUAAUGAAACAGAAAUGUUCAGUUUCUGCUCUGAAGUCCAGUUUAUAGUUCUCUGUAUUCAACACAGACUUUAUUUCUCUGCUAACUUGUUGAUUUUGAGCUCUAAGUUUGAAAACAGACAGCUGUUCUUUAUACUUGUUCUUUUCACAGCAGGUUUGUUACUUCAGCUUUAACACAUUUGACAGGAAGGAUUUCUUUAUUUUGAUGAUGUUGGUUUAUUUGUGAGGAAACCUGCUGCUGUACACCAUCACUUCUGGUCUGAGCAGGACUGGAACCUGCUGGUCUGUAAACUGGAUGUUCUUCAGUCCAGCUGAUGAAGUGAGUCUCAGAGUGGAAACACUGAUCGUCUGUUUUUCUCUCCUCAGGUGGAGUUAACAUCUGUCAGAGUGAUUAAGAAGAGGAUCAUCUGUCUUCUGACGAUCAGAGAGGUGGAGGCAGCAGCAGUGAGGGUGAGGUGAGUCUCUGACUGGGCCGUGUUACUGAGAGACUGACUGACCAAUCACAGCGGGCGGAGAGGAUUGUGGGAGCUGCACUUUGACCUGCUCUGAGAUCAGCUCAGGACCUGGACUCUGGAUAUUUGAUCUUUUCCCUCAUAUUCUGGGAUCAAACAGUCUGAACAGAUUUGUUUUGUUGAUGGAAACAUGAUCAUACAUUCACCCACUGAUUGGAUUACUUUUUUUUUGCCUAUGAUGCAGCGCCACCUAGUGGAAAUAUAAAGCGGUGGAGUUGAUUUAUUCCCACAGACUUCUGCAGCAGUAGUUGAUACCAUGUGUGACAGCAGAUCAGUCAGAAGUUCUGAUUAAACCCAAAGGUUAUUCUUUCCUUUGCACCGUCAGAUAUAAACUGAAGGGAGAGGAAGAGAACUGAGGAGAGAUGGAGGUGAAGGGAGGAGGACAGGGUUUGGGGUUUCAGAAAAAUCAGAAGCUUUAUUCUUUUAUUUGCUUAUAUUUAUUUAUCUGUUUACUUUUUAAAUUUCUGAAAUGAUUUUCAGUAUUGACUGGAGGUGGAUUGACCUUAGUUUUUAUUAUUAGACAUUAUUUUUUUUCUCUUUACAUGUUUUUGUUCUCAUAUAAUCUUUGAACUCAUCAAUAAUUAAUUCCCUCCUGUUUGGAUGAACAAACACAAUUAUUAAACCAUAAAUGAGACCUGAAUGUAAAAGUAAAAUGUGUGAAAUAUAAUUUGUCAAAGUAAAGAUUCUUUAACAAGAAAACUUGAUCUAGUUUAUUAUGAUGGAGACGUUUUCCUCUGACAGACUAAAAUUAUCGGAUUGACUCGAGUCUGGAAAAAGUGUGAUCAGCAUCUAUUCAGGGUGAAGUCAUUAAUACGGUUGAUGCUGUUUUAUAAACUCAGUGUUGUUGAUUACAAUCUCAGCUUCAUAAAUUUGAUGCUACAGUGGAGUGACUUCCUGUAAAAUCCACUGGCUUUGUGAGACCGUUAGCUUUCAGGAGAUAAGUUUGUGUUUCUGUGACACUCCAGAGCUUUUCUAUCCCACAGAGAAGAUCGGUUUGUUUUCAGAGACCUUCUUGAUCCCAUCCCUCCAAAAUGAAAAUAAUCUGAUGAUUUAUGGAUUAAUUUCAGUAACAAAGUGUCAUUUCUGUUGUAAACCAAUUAGAGGCUGUAUCUGCUAUCAGCUGACCUGUAAAGGUCCAAUCAGAAGCCAGAACAGCUCAUCACAGUUCGCUUAUCUAGUAUCAAUAGAUCUGUGCUCUGUCUGCGUAGCAGUAUGUUUAUGCUUCAUUUACACCAGAUCAUUUUUUAUUUAAUUUCACUGUCACAAUGUCAUUUGAAAACAAUAAAAACUUUAUUUGAACUAAAACAUGUUAAAAACAUCAA